AACGAACGCUGGCGGCAUGCCUAACACAUGCAAGUCGAACGAGACCUUCGGGUCUAGUGGCGCACGGGUGCGUAACGCGUGGGAACCUGCCCUUAGGUUCGGAAUAACUCCCCGAAAGGGGUGCUAAUACCGGAUAAUGUCUUCGGACCAAAGAUUUAUCGCCUUUGGAUGGGCCCGCGUUGGAUUAGCUAGUUGGUAGGGUAAAAGCCUACCAAGGCGACGAUCCAUAGCUGGUCUGAGAGGAUGAUCAGCCACACUGGGACUGAGACACGGCCCAGACUCCUACGGGAGGGAGCAGUGGGGAAUAUUGGACACUGGGCGAAAGCCUGAUCCAGCAAUGCCGCGUGAGUGAUGAAGGCCUUAGGGUUGUAAAGCUCUUUUACCCGGGAUGAUAAUGACAGUACCGGGAGAAUAAGCUCCGGCUAACUCCGUG
RNAcentral lists this ribosomal RNA (433 nucleotides) under uncultured bacterium. RNAcentral's name for it is "partial 16S ribosomal RNA". It matches the Rfam family "Bacterial small subunit ribosomal RNA", at positions 29 to 507 of the family's 1533-position model. The record is from RNAcentral.